Polyodon spathula (Mississippi paddlefish) is the source of this 1364-nucleotide long non-coding RNA. RefSeq lists it as uncharacterized. NCBI's taxonomy places the organism in Eukaryota, Metazoa, Chordata, Actinopteri, Acipenseriformes, Polyodontidae. The transcript is spliced from 2 exons. The record is from RefSeq and is a predicted model, not a curated record.
UUGCUUAACUUUUGAUUAUUUUUUUUUUUUUUUUAAACAGUGCAUGACUAUACUGUGGUCAGUAACUUACCUGGUUUAUCAUGAUUCUUUCCAUGCUUUUGUCAUGAUAUAAUGCAGAAACAAACUAGUUAUGUUUUGAAAGGGAUAGGCCAAUACAAAAUGUAUUUAUUGAACUUGUAGAAAAUUAGACUACUUCACUACAUCCUGUAUCAUUAAACAGACCUGCAUUUGUUUUCUAUAAAUAUAUAAUCAGACAGAAAACCUCAAGAAUUAAAGAUUAGCCAGCCAAUGAAGUAUAGAACUAUCAUCCAGCUCCUUCUCAACAUAACCAUUUGACCUUCACAUGAUGUGUUUUUUAAAGCAAACCCCAUUCUCCCCCACGAAACAUGCAUCAAUCUGCAUCUGUGAACUGAUCAAUCUGUGUAAUAAAAAAAUAAAUAAAAAAUGCAUGAGCUGUGAUAGCAUGUAUGUUAUUUGCUACCUGUUUAGACCCUGGCUAUGUAUUACAGCUGGUUCUGGGUUGUUUGAUCGGAUGUAGAAGGAUGGCAAAGAAAUCACUUGGAAGACAUUGUGCGACAGUGACCAACCAGAGAACCCCAGGAAGGUGAAACAGCCGUGCUGCUGCAGAGUUCAUUGAUAUGCAGCAGGGAUCCAGUUUGAUCUUCAGAACUGUUUCCAGCAGUCCAACCCCCAGAGCCCACUUUUACUGCAGUUCAGCACUGAGGGCAGUGCCUCUGCAGGCUGGUCUUGGAAUUGUCUUACAGAAGGAGUUGCAGUAGUCUGGUGCUCUCAAUGACUGUCAUUUUACUGAAGGGAGGAGGGUUAAGCAUCUGAUUGAGAAAGGCAUGACAAAGGAGAGGCAGCUUAAGGCUUCCUUGCACCACAUGCUGUUUUUAAUUAUUUGUCCAAUCUUGUAUAGGUGAAGAUUUUACUACUGCAAUGCACAUCCUUUAUAAUGCUGUAGUAGGAAACAAUAGGUCAGAGACAGCCUUAUAGCGAGAACACAAGUGCUAGUGUAAUGGUAUUAGGGGUCAAAUGGUAGCCAUGACUAUAGCACCUUACAACAUGGUCCGUGGUUUAAAGGGCCACCUUACAACGAGGAAGCACUGUAAUUACCUGUAUGCAGUCAGCACUUGGAUAUGCGUUACCCAGAUACGUCAGUCACGUUUAUAUAUAUAUAUAUAUAUAAUUUUUUUUUUUCUCCUUGCAUGCCAAAUCGGUUUGUUUUUAUUGUGUAGUUACACAGCUCUUCCUCCAGUUUCUCCUGACUGAAAUGCAGCCAAAGAGACAAGCUAUGGAAAUGUAACAGUUAAACAGUGUUAGAUACUGUGAUGUAUUGUUAUUUUUUUAAAUCUGUAUCUUUA